GAGAGGACCGGAGUGGACGCAUCACUGGUGUUCGGGUUGUCAUGCCAAUGGCACUGCCCGGUAGCUAAAUGCGGAAGAGAUAAGUGCUGAAAGCAUCUAAGCACGAAACUUGCCCCGAGAUGAGUUCUCCCUGAGACUUUAAGUCUCCUGAAGGAACGUUGAAGACGACGACGUUGAUAGGCCGGGUGUGUAAGCGCAGCGAUGCGUUGAGCUAACCGGUACUAAUGAACCGUGAGGCUUAACCUUACAACGCCGAAGCUGUU
RNAcentral lists this ribosomal RNA (263 nucleotides) under Klebsiella variicola. RNAcentral's name for it is "partial 23S ribosomal RNA". It matches the Rfam family "Bacterial large subunit ribosomal RNA", at positions 2685 to 2925 of the family's 2925-position model. Lineage: Bacteria; Pseudomonadati; Pseudomonadota; Gammaproteobacteria; Enterobacterales; Enterobacteriaceae. The record is from RNAcentral.